RNAcentral lists this ribosomal RNA (573 nucleotides) under Scaeva occidentalis. RNAcentral's name for it is "partial 28S ribosomal RNA". Lineage: Eukaryota; Metazoa; Arthropoda; Insecta; Diptera; Syrphidae. The record is from RNAcentral.
AGUACGUGAAACUGCUUAGAGGUUAAACCCGAUGAACCUGAAUAUCCAUUAUGGAAAAUUCAUCACUAAUAAUGUGAUAUUUUAAAAAUAUUAUAGUAAUGGUGUGCAAUUUUUCCAUAUAAGGACAUUGUAAUCUGUUAAUGUUAUAAAUAUUUAUCAUAAGAUCCAUUACUUAAGUUUAUUCAAAUUAGUUAUUUUCGGAUUUCUAACAUAGAAUAAAUGUUUUGGAUUUGAUAAAUCAUUGACAGAUAUAAUUAUAUAAAGUGCUUAAAAUUUUUCGAAAUUUUUACAAUGGUAAUUAAAUCUAAUGAUUUUUUUAUUUAAUUGUAUGCAUUUUUAUGAUUGACAAUGCGAUAGAUUCAGGAUACCUUCGGGACCCGUCUUGAAACACGGACCAAGGAGUCUAACAUAUGUGCAAGUCAUUGGGUAUUUUUAAUAAAACCCAAUGGCGUAAUUAACUUAACUGUAAUGGGAUUAAUUUAUAAUUUUUUAAAAAUUUAUUUAUUCAAUCCCGGGGCGUUCUAUAUAGUUAUGUAUAAUAGUAUUUAUAUUAUUUAUACCUCUAACUCGAGC